RNAcentral lists this ribosomal RNA (417 nucleotides) under uncultured bacterium. RNAcentral's name for it is "bacterial SSU rRNA". It matches the Rfam family "Bacterial small subunit ribosomal RNA", at positions 29 to 444 of the family's 1533-position model. The record is from RNAcentral.
AUUGAACGCUGGCGGAAUGCUUUACACAUGCAAGUCGAGCGGCAGCGCGGGGGCAACCCUGGCGGCGAGCGGCGAACGGGUGAGUAACAUAUCGGAACGUACCCCGUCGUGGGGGAUAACACAGCGAAAGCUGUGCUAAUACCGCAUACGACCUGAGGGUGAAAGCGGGGGAUCGCAAGACCUCGCGCGAUGGGAGCGGCCGAUAUCGGAUUAGCUUGUUGGUGAGGUAAAGGCUCACCAAGGCGACGAUCCGUAGCUGGUCUGAGAGGACGACCAGCCACACUGGAACUGAGACACGGUCCAGACUCCUACGGGAGGCAGCAGUGGGGAAUUUUGGACAAUGGGGGGCAACCCUGAUCCAGCCAUUCCGCGUGAGUGAAGAAGGCCUCGGUUGGUUAAAGACGUCUUUCUAGCAGG